UAUAAAUAUUUUUUCCGAACUUAAGGGCCUAAAGUAUAAUUCCAUGGUUCUAAAGUCAUUGGGUACGUUAGGAAACUAGCAUGCCUCCCAUUGUGGAAAGGAGAAGCCAUACCAAAGGA
This 119-nucleotide non-coding RNA is filed under the name Syntrophomonas zehnderi. RNAcentral describes it as "MoCo sequence". It matches the Rfam family "Molybdenum/Tungsten riboswitch aptamer (Moco RNA motif)". Lineage: Bacteria; Bacillati; Bacillota; Clostridia; Eubacteriales; Syntrophomonadaceae. RNAcentral also lists the same sequence under 1 other name. The record is from RNAcentral.